Long non-coding RNA from Gallus gallus (chicken), 389 nucleotides. NCBI's taxonomy places the organism in Eukaryota, Metazoa, Chordata, Aves, Galliformes, Phasianidae. The record is from Ensembl.
CUGGUGUCCUUCUAUGAUGGAGUUAUGGCUGCAGUGGAUGGGAGAAGGGUGGUGGAUGUCAUCUACCUGGACUCCUGCAAAGCCUUUGACAUGGUCCCUCACCACAUCCUUCUCUCUAAAUUGGAGUCUUGGGACCAGUGCUAUUCAACAUCUUCAUCGCUGACACAGACGAUGGCAUCGAGUGCAUCCUCAGCAAGUUUGCAGAUGGACCUGGACAGGCUGGAGAACUGGGCCCAUGUGAAACUAAUGAAGUUCAACAAGGCCAAGUGCAAGGCGUGUCACUCCAUCAUAGAAGGAGAUCAGGUUCAUCAAGCAGAACCUGCCUUUCAUGAACCCAUGCUGGCUGUGCCUGAUCCACCAGACAUCCCUCACAUAUUUGUAGCCUUAAA